UUAUUCAAAUUUAUUUAAAGAAAAUAAAAUAACAAAAACGCUAUUUCAAUGACAUAAUCAAACUCAUAUUUUUGUCACACUUGUUUCAGGAUGGUUUUUCUUAUAUUUUUCUUCUUUUCAAUCAUUAUUAUUUUUUCCUCUGUUUUAUUCAAUUCACAAUUUAAUUUCAUUUGAAUUUUUUGUUUUUCGUCGGAUAAAUCUUCGAUUUAUAAAAAGAACCUUAAUCUUUUCAACAUGACAAACAUUUUGCUUUUAACUUUCCAUGUACUUUGCCUGGCUCGCUGUUUAACGUGGUGUGUGGGUAUUUUAUCCUUAUAUGUUAUAAAUUCAUGUCACAAUCUCAUUUUCUAAUACAUUUUAUAUUGCUAAUCAAAUGAUGGGUUUUAAAUGUUUUUUUUUAAUUAAACGGUGGGAAAUUGUGUGAUGGCCAUUCAAUGGUGUGUGUGUGUGUCAAAAUACCGCCUCACAUUUUUUUAUUAGAAUUUUGAUUCAAUCAAAUUGUUUAAUGAAUCUUAAUUUUGCUUUCGUCGUCGCUAUAUGUUUUUUUUUGUGCUACAGCCUGAAAAUGGGGAACGAACACAUCCCAGAAAACAUUCUGGCUUGUGAAUGAUAUUCCAUUUGUUUUGCUUGAAUAAUGUUUUGUUUGAACCAAUGCUUUUUCUGAUGUUUUUUUGAAUCAUUCUAACUCCAUACUCAUUCGACGUUGCAAUUUUUGACAAAAACAAUAAAAAACAAAUAGAAAGAAGCCUGCCGAGAAUGGACAAAAGUUUUAGAUCACGUGCAAAAACUAUUUGUAAAUAGUAAUGGUGUGCUUUUGUUAUCAGUUGGACACUAUGUUAAAUUUCAUCCACUUAAAAACAAAAUUUUCAUAUCGUUAGUACUAAAACCAAAAAAAAAAAAAAUCGCCAA
This is a long non-coding RNA of Contarinia nasturtii (swede midge), 909 nucleotides long. RefSeq lists it as uncharacterized. The transcript is spliced from 2 exons. The record is from RefSeq and is a predicted model, not a curated record. NCBI's taxonomy places the organism in Eukaryota, Metazoa, Arthropoda, Insecta, Diptera, Cecidomyiidae.